UUGAAAAUAUUCCAUUGUUUUACUGUAAAAUCAGACUGCAUAAACAGUUAAUAUUAUAUUAAUUGUAUAUUUACUUUACUAUCUCAAUAUUUCAUUAUGAAACAUACUUACUUUUUCCAACAGGUUUUUGUUCGAGAAGGGACACGCUUGUUUUCUGAAAUAUCCUCAUCUUCUUGUGGUAAAAGGUACCUUUUCCUUUUCAUUAGAUGCCGUUCCAUUUUUAAAAAAAUAUUAUUAUUAUUAUUCUUUUAAUGCCGAAUCAUUUACAAAAUAUUGCAAUAGCAGAAAAAUGACUAGAAAAGAUGAUUGUUUCGAACCCGCCAUCAGUUAAUAUAAAUAGUUUAUUGGAGUAACUACGUGUCAAUCAUGUAGCUGGCCAAUUACUGAGUCGUAAUAUUGCAGCAGGGCGGAGACUGAUUUCAGAAUUUCAGCUCGCGGUCGUAUGGUCGUGUCACUGUCACGGAACUUUACGUUUGGUAACACGUAAGUACAGUACAUGACAUGUACAUAAAACACAUAUUAAUAUUAUUGUGACAGGCAUGGAAGGACGUGCAUAAUUAAUUUUUAACAUUUUCAAAGUGACAGAAAAUUCGAGUGCAAAAAAUCCCCUAAAAUUAAAGGCAAUUAAGUUUUGCUGAACGCAGGCCUAUUCUUUGUCACUCAGUGGUGGCAUACGGUAAUAAUGUGGAGAUAUAUGUAUUUGCUUAUCCAUCACAUUGUUUUAAAAACAAUACCAAAAUACACUAUACAAUGAUAAUAUUGCACAGCAUUACUUGACUCUGAUGCUAAAUUGUUGUUGAAUACUUUGGUAUAACGUACCGGUGGUACUGUAUAUGAAAAGCUGUGUUUUGGCGAUAAUGGUUAUAUUUUCUUUUACUGUAUUUUCGUUGUGCUGAAGUGUGUCAGAAUGAGGAGGUUUGCCUUGGUUCAGUGGAAAGCUGGAGCUGAUAAAGGCAAAUUCAGCGAAGUCAGUACGGAUGCUGUUCACAAUUACAAUGAUGAAGAUUUUGACGAGGAUGGAAAUCCGAAGGCCAAGCUGAAGCGAUCGUAGAAUGGCGCCAAGGUAAAAAACAGAAACAGGGAUGGCCUAUGUACGCGGGCGCUGUUCUUUUUGUUCAUAAUAAUAGAUUCGCCAUUGCAAAGAAGAUGCAGGAGUGCGUUGAAAAGAAGGAUCUGGGGAAACGCCUGAAGAGGCCGCUUAAAAUGCCUAAGAGAUAUGAGUCUUCUUCAGAUGGUUCUGAUACAGAACCGGUUAAGAAAACAUCUUCAGAGACCAGCAUGGCAAAACAGUGCUUACAGAAACACAAGUCAGGUUCCACUGCUGAAACACGAGAUGUUGAAGAAGACCAUUUGAAGAGUGUACAGCUCCAGAAAGAAAAUCAGGAUCUUAAGGAAGAGAAUCAAAAUCUUAAGGAAAUGCUCUUCAAAGGCAUGUUAAAACAUUUUGUAUUAUAGCAGCGAUUGGGUGUCUGCUGUGUGUUUUGGUUCUGUGUUCAAAAAUACCUUUCUCAAUUUUCUUUUUCUGUAGUUUGAUGUAGGAUUUUAGAAAGGAAGUUUGCAGAGUUCGUUAUCAACUAUGCUGUUUUGGAUUGUGUGAUAUUUUCAGUUUUUAAAGUUUACAAAUUCUUAUUAUCUUGAAAAGGUAAAACAUUUUUUUCUCGAAAUAAAACACUGAAAUGUCUUAAGGUAA
Molecule: long non-coding RNA, 1690 nt
Organism: Acipenser ruthenus (sterlet)
Lineage: Eukaryota; Metazoa; Chordata; Actinopteri; Acipenseriformes; Acipenseridae
Exons: 3
Source: RefSeq, a predicted model, not a curated record